Molecule: ribosomal RNA, 346 nt
Filed under: Eubranchus rustyus
Lineage: Eukaryota; Metazoa; Mollusca; Gastropoda; Nudibranchia; Eubranchidae
Description: partial 16S ribosomal RNA
Rfam family: Archaeal large subunit ribosomal RNA (bases 1-143)
Source: RNAcentral
AAAUGAAUGGCCGCGGUACUCUGACCGUGCUAAGGUAGCAUAAUCAGUUGGCUUUUAAAUGGAGUCGGGUAUGAAUGGGAUAACCGGGCUUAGCUGUCUCAAAAUUAUUUAUUUGAAUUUACUGUCUAGGUGAAAAAGCCUAGGUAUAUUAAAGGGACGAGAAGACCCUUAGAAUUUUGUUUAAAGUAAUUACCAAUACUUGCUGUGAUUUUGUUGGGGCGACAGAGAAAUAUUUAAAACUUUCUUUUAAUCAAUCAGCCGGAUUUUUCAAGAUAGUAUAAAUUCGCCUGUUUAUCAAAAACAUGAUGCAAGGUGUUGGUAAAAAAAACCGGUUGACGGAUAAGGG